UAGUACGAAUGGUCCAGAGUGGACGAACCUCCGGUGUACCUGUUGUGACGCCAGUUGCAUCGCCGGGUAGCUAUGUUCGGAUGGGUUAACCGCUGAAAGCGUCUAAGCUGGAAGUCUAACCCAGGAUACGAUUUCCCUAGGACUUUCUGUCCUCUAAACAGCCGUUCGAGACUAGGACGUUGAUAGGUUGGAUGUGGAAGCAUAGUGAUAUGUGAAGCUGACCAGUACUAAUUGCUCGUGGGGCUUGACUAUACAAC
Molecule: ribosomal RNA, 257 nt
Filed under: Acinetobacter baumannii
Lineage: Bacteria; Pseudomonadati; Pseudomonadota; Gammaproteobacteria; Moraxellales; Moraxellaceae
Description: partial 23S ribosomal RNA
Rfam family: Bacterial large subunit ribosomal RNA
Source: RNAcentral